This 1036-nucleotide ribosomal RNA is filed under the name Staphylococcus aureus. RNAcentral describes it as "partial 23S ribosomal RNA". It matches the Rfam family "Bacterial large subunit ribosomal RNA", at positions 1265 to 2297 of the family's 2925-position model. The record is from RNAcentral. Lineage: Bacteria; Bacillati; Bacillota; Bacilli; Caryophanales; Staphylococcaceae.
AAGGACAUGUGGAGCGCUUAGAAGUGAGAAUGCCGGUGUGAGUAGCGAAAGACGGGUGAGAAUCCCGUCCACCGAUUGACUAAGGUUUCCAGAGGAAGGCUCGUCCGCUCUGGGUUAGUCGGGUCCUAAGCUGAGGCCGACAGGCGUAGGCGAUGGAUAACAGGUUGAUAUUCCUGUACCACCUAUAAUCGUUUUAAUCGAUGGGGGGACGCAGUAGGAUAGGCGAAGCGUGCGAUUGGAUUGCACGUCUAAGCAGUAAGGCUGAGUAUUAGGCAAAUCCGGUACUCGUUAAGGCUGAGCUGUGAUGGGGAGAAGACAUUGUGUCUUCGAGUCGUUGAUUUCACACUGCCGAGAAAAGCCUCUAGAUAGAAAAUAGGUGCCCGUACCGCAAACCGACACAGGUAGUCAAGAUGAGAAUUCUAAGGUGAGCGAGCGAACUCUCGUUAAGGAACUCGGCAAAAUGACCCCGUAACUUCGGGAGAAGGGGUGCUCUUUAGGGUUAACGCCCAGAAGAGCCGCAGUGAAUAGGCCCAAGCGACUGUUUAUCAAAAACACAGGUCUCUGCUAAACCGUAAGGUGAUGUAUAGGGGCUGACGCCUGCCCGGUGCUGGAAGGUUAAGAGGAGUGGUUAGCUUCUGCGAAGCUACGAAUCGAAGCCCCAGUAAACGGCGGCCGUAACUAUAACGGUCCUAAGGUAGCGAAAUUCCUUGUCGGGUAAGUUCCGACCCGCACGAAAGGCGUAACGAUUUGGGCACUGUCUCAACGAGAGACUCGGUGAAAUCAUAGUACCUGUGAAGAUGCAGGUUACCCGCGACAGGACGGAAAGACCCCGUGGAGCUUUACUGUAGCCUGAUAUUGAAAUUCGGCACAGCUUGUACAGGAUAGGUAGGAGCCUUUGAAACGUGAGCGCUAGCUUACGUGGAGGCGCUGGUGGGAUACUACCCUAGCUGUGUUGGCUUUCUAACCCGCACCACUUAUCGUGGUGGGAGACAGUGUCAGGCGGGCAGUUUGACUGGGGCGGUCGCCUCCUAAAAGG